Molecule: ribosomal RNA, 253 nt
Filed under: uncultured bacterium
Lineage: Bacteria
Description: partial 16S ribosomal RNA
Rfam family: Bacterial small subunit ribosomal RNA
Source: RNAcentral
UACGUAGGGGGCUAGCGUUGUCCGGAAUUAUUGGGCGUAAAGAGCGUGUAGGCGGUCCGGUAAGUCAGCUGUGAAAGUCAAGGGCUCAACCCUUGAAUGCCGGUUGAUACUGUCGGGCUAGAGUCCGGAAGAGGCGAGUGGAAUUCCCGGUGUAGCGGUGAAAUGCGCAGAUAUCGGGAGGAACACCAAUGGCGAAGGCAGCUCGCUGGGACGGUACUGACGCUGAGACGCGAAAGCGUGGGGAGCAAACGGG